RNAcentral lists this ribosomal RNA (253 nucleotides) under uncultured bacterium. RNAcentral's name for it is "partial 16S ribosomal RNA". It matches the Rfam family "Bacterial small subunit ribosomal RNA", at positions 524 to 776 of the family's 1533-position model. The record is from RNAcentral.
UACAGAGGUCCCGAGCGUUGUUCGGAUUCAUUGGGCGUAAAGGGUGCGUAGGUGGCGCUGUAAGUGGGGUGUGAAAUCUCAGGGCUCAACCCUGAAACUGCAUUCGAUACUGCGCGGCUAGAGUGCUGGAGGGGAGACUGGAAUUUACGGUGUAGCAGUGAAAUGCGUAGAUAUCGUAAGGAAGACCAGUGGCGAAGGCGAUUCUCUGGACAGCAACUGACGCUGAGGCACGAAGGCCAGGGGAGCAAACGGG